This 445-nucleotide ribosomal RNA is filed under the name uncultured bacterium. RNAcentral's name for it is "partial 16S ribosomal RNA". It matches the Rfam family "Bacterial small subunit ribosomal RNA", at positions 354 to 796 of the family's 1533-position model. The record is from RNAcentral.
GUAGGGAAUAUUGGGCAAUGGAUGCAAGUCUGACCCAGCCAUCCCGCGUGCCGGAAGAAGGCCCUCAGGGUUGUAAACGGCUUUUGACGGUGAAGAACCGACAGGAUGCGUCCUGUUUUGACGGUAGCCGUUGAAAAAGCACCGGCUAACUCCGUGCCAGCAGCCGCGGUAAUACGGAGGGUGCGAGCGUUGUCCGGAUUUAUUGGGUUUAAAGGGUGCGUAGGCUGGAAGGUCAGUCAGCGGUGAAAAGCUAUCGCUUAACGAUAGUCUUGCCGCAGAUACUUCCUUUCUUGGAUGAGGAGGAGGCCACUGGAACGGAUGGUGUAGCGGUGAAAUGCAUAGAUAUCAUCCAGAACACCGAUUGCGAAGGCAGGUGGCUGUACCUUAAUCGACGCUGAUGCACGAAAGCAUGGGGAGCAAACAGGAUUAGAAACCCGGGUAGUCC